GAGAGAGGGUUCAGGAAGUUGUGGAAAUUGCCAACCGUAAGCAGGUUCUUGAGCUCAAAAGGAAGCAGACUACAUAACCAUAUAGAGCAUGCUGGUAAGCUAUGUUUCUUUGUGUAUCCUCAUUUCAAAUCUUUUCUUGUGUUCAUGUCCUGAUUUUUCUACAUGAUGGACUGGGCUGACUUUUCAGCAGGUGAGUGAUGAGCAGACAGAACAGACAGAGCAUGGCAGCACUCCAACAUCUCCUUCCUGGAAAAUUAGUCUCCUGAUUUAUGUCACAGUCACAUGGCUACAAAAACUUCUUCUGUGCUUCCCACAAGUAAAAAAAGGUGUGUUUAACAUCACAAUUCUUCAGCAAAAUUUAAACAAAUCUGCAGUAAGUUACAGUGGUUAUGCUGGGAAUAAAUGUGGCCUGAGUUGUCAUUCUGCCUAA
Myodes glareolus (Bank vole) is the source of this 430-nucleotide non-coding RNA. The record is from RefSeq and is a predicted model, not a curated record. Lineage: Eukaryota; Metazoa; Chordata; Mammalia; Rodentia; Cricetidae.